RNAcentral lists this long non-coding RNA (1058 nucleotides) under Capra hircus (goat). Its description in RNAcentral is "lncRNA (ENSCHIG00000001949.1)". Lineage: Eukaryota; Metazoa; Chordata; Mammalia; Artiodactyla; Bovidae. The record is from RNAcentral.
CUCUUAAUUCUUCUGGAAAAGUCCCUCGGCGUGUUCUUUUUUGGAAUAAAGAAGCUUUACUUCCCCUCUAGAAUGUCACAUGACACCUAUAAAGAAGGAGGCGGAGGGGCCAUGCAAGUCUCUGCUCAGGAGACACAGGUAGUAGGCACUGCCGUGCACCCGGGCUCUCACCAGGCUCGUCCUGUGCACCCCCUGACGUGACAAAAGGGACACGUGCAGACUACAGACACAUGCCGAACCCAGGGAAGGCGGGCUGGCCGGCCUCGACGUCGCCUGGGUGUAGGAGGAGGCCUCUAAUCAACGCCACAAAGAAGGCUGAUUCACAGCAGUGGGCCCACGGCAAGGACCAGACUCCAGGGAGCCAGUGACGGGGCCAGGGAGAGGGUAGAGGGCUCAGGUCAGUCACUGGACACCACAGGACCCAGGUAGUGCCCCAGGCCCAGGGCCAGCAUGAAGACACCAGGAGGCAGGCAGCUGGGUCAGAAAGAUCACUGAGGUUGGAGGUGAGCUGGGGCCCAGAGUCAGACAAGCCGGGGUCAGGAACUUUGGGAUUGUUCACCUGUGGCCUAGGGUAAAUCACACAACCUUUCUGAACGCCAGUUUCUCCUCUGGAUGAUCAGAACCCUCUUCACCUUCCCUGAGACCCAUUUGAUGAUGAUCAAAUAAAAAUAAAAUCCAGAAAAGGAAGUUUCAUCUUUGAGGAUUCUGUCAGCCAGCUAACCACCACUUUACAAUCUAGAAUAGGGGUCCCCAGCCUCUGAGCUCUGAGGUGGAGCUGACGUAAUCAUAAUAAAAUGCACAAUAAACGUAAUACUCUUGAAUCAUCCUGAAACCAUCCCCCCUUCCGUGGGAAAAUUGUCUUCCAUGAGACCAGUCCCUGGUGCCUAAAAGUUUGGGGACUGCUCAUCUACAGAGUACACAGUCACGUUAAGCUCACCGCUGACUGCUCUGUGCUUACUCCUUAUCUCCCGAAAUCUUCAAAGUGGGGAAUCGGAACCUUUUUUGCAGGUAAGGAAACUGAGGCUCAGAAUAGCUAACUGUCUUGCCCAAAACCUCAC